This 219-nucleotide unclassified non-coding RNA is filed under the name Hevea brasiliensis (rubber tree). The record is from RNAcentral. Lineage: Eukaryota; Viridiplantae; Streptophyta; Magnoliopsida; Malpighiales; Euphorbiaceae.
CGGACUUCGAUUCUUCAUCUCCCCCAUUCUUGGCAGCGGUAUGAUGUUUCCUUCUUCACCCUUUCAAUGGCUGCCCCGUCUUCGUUCUCUCCUGCACUUCCGGCGCCAGGCGAUCAUCCAUAGCUGAGAUGCUUCAGCUUGCAUGUCGCCCCGAUCUCCAGCAUUGCUCGCCGGCGAGAUGUGUGUUCAUCUCGUGUUGAUCUGGUAAGUCCGAUUUUG